GACGAACGCUGGCGGCGUGCUUAACACAUGCAAGUCGAACGGAAAGGCCCUGCUUUUGUGGGGUGCUCGAGUGGCGAACGGGUGAGUAACACGUGAGUAACCUGCCCUUGACUUUGGGAUAACUUCAGGAAACUGGGGCUAAUACCGGAUAGGAGCUCCUGCUGCAUGGUGGGGGUUGGAAAGUUUCGGCGGUUGGGGAUGGACUCGCGGCUUAUCAGCUUGUUGGUGGGGUAGUGGCUUACCAAGGCUUUGACGGGUAGCCGGCCUGAGAGGGUGACCGGCCACAUUGGGACUGAGAUCGGCCCAGACUCCUACGGGAGGCAGCAGUGGGGAAUAUUGCACAAUGGGCGGAAGCCUGAUGCAGCAACGCCGCGUGCGGGAUGACGGCCUUCGGGUUGUAAACCGCUUUCGCCUGUGACGAAGCGUGAGUGACGGUAAUGGGUAAAGAAGCACCGGCUAACUACGUG
This 467-nucleotide ribosomal RNA is filed under the name uncultured bacterium. RNAcentral's name for it is "partial 16S ribosomal RNA". It matches the Rfam family "Bacterial small subunit ribosomal RNA", at positions 28 to 507 of the family's 1533-position model. The record is from RNAcentral.